This 1570-nucleotide unclassified non-coding RNA is filed under the name Rhopalosiphum maidis (corn leaf aphid). RNAcentral's name for it is "lysosomal Pro-X carboxypeptidase-like, transcript variant X2". Lineage: Eukaryota; Metazoa; Arthropoda; Insecta; Hemiptera; Aphididae. The record is from RNAcentral.
CGAACUUUUCUUUUAAAUUUGUAUUGUCACUGUUCUGUGCAUCACGAGUGAAGACAACCAGCUAGGAACAUAUCUUUUUAUUUCCAUUCGAUUUUAUAUCUGUUAAUUAUUGUUGUUGUAAAUUAAUUUUUAACAAUUUCAACAUGUUUAUUCUUGCGUGGUCACAACUAUUGAUGAUAAUUGUUCACACCACCUAUGGCUAUGAUUACACGACUAAUUAUAUAACCGUACCGGUCGACCAUUUUAGUUAUACCAAUAAUGAUACAUUUGAAUUGAAGUAUCUUAUGAAUGACACAUAUUGGGAUGUUAAUAAAGGUCCAAUAUUUUUUUAUGCUGGCAACGAAGCACCAAUUGAAGAUUUUUCUGAUAAUACUGGCUUUAUGUGGGAAAUAUCAAGAGAAUUAGAGGCAUUGGUUGUGUUCGCCGAGCACCGUUACUAUGGCGAGUCCAUGCCCUAUGGAAAGAAUUCGUUCGAUGACAAAGUGAAAUUGGGCUAUCUGACCUCACAGCAAGCGCUGGCCGACUUCGUAGACGUGAUAAAGUAUCUGCGUAAUGACACACUGUGUACCGGCAGACGACCUAAUCCGGUAAUCGCUUUCGGAGGCUCGUACGGAGGAAUGUUGGCCGCUUGGUUUCGCAUCAAGUAUCCCGCCACUGUCGAAGGAGCUAUAGCUUCUUCAGCUCCAAUAUGGCAAUUUACUGGAAUGACGCCAUGCAAUGAUUUCUACAAAGUGACAUCGUCAGUUUACAGAAAAACUAGUGUUGAAUGCGGAUUGACUAUUUCAGCAUCCUGGAAAGCCAUAGAUAACGUUACAGAAUCUGAUUCUGGAAAAGCGUGGUUAACUGAUAACUGGAAAUUAUGUAGACCGUUAGAGAACACCGACGACGUAGCACAGUUAAAAUAUUGGGCUGCUGAUGUGUAUGUGGCAUUGGCCAUGGUUAACUAUCCUUACGAAGCAAAUUUUUUGGCUCCUUUGCCUGCAAAUCCGAUCAAGGAAGUCUGCAAGUCAAUGACAAACCACACGGAAGAUGAUUCGACGCUCCUGAUGUCGGUAUUUCGCGGGUUGAACGUCUAUUUCAACUACACCGGGUCGGCCAGCUGCUUAAAUCUGUCGUCAGCGUUUUCCGACGAUAUGAUGAACGGAUGGAAUUAUCAGGCUUGCACAGAAAUGAUAAUGCCGUUUUGUGCUAACGGCGGCGAGGACGACAUAUUUGAAGCAUACCCGUGGGAUUUCGAAAGCUACGCGCAGUACUGUGAAAAUCGAUAUGGCGUGAAACCGACCACGGGCGACGUCGAAAAACAGUACGGUGGCAAAAAUCUCAAAGCUGCGUCCAACAUAAUAUUCAGGUAUCCGAGGUUAAUAGACUCAUAACUACUGGAACGAUUUUUAAGCGGUUUUUUCAAAACCACUCUUUCCAAAAACCGGUUUCAAUGGUUUAUUGGACCCAUGGUCCAGUGGUGGCGUGUUGAAAAGUAUUUCAUCAACCGUCAGGGCGUUAUUGAUACCAGACGGUGCUCAUCACUUGGACUUGAGGGCAUCGCAUCCCAACGACACGUCAUCCGUAAUUC